Cricetulus griseus (Chinese hamster) is the source of this 5088-nucleotide non-coding RNA. Lineage: Eukaryota; Metazoa; Chordata; Mammalia; Rodentia; Cricetidae. The record is from RefSeq and is a predicted model, not a curated record.
GGUAAACAUUGCUGGGGGUGGGGAAGUGCUCCAGCAGUGUAACUACUUAUAAUCUGCCCAGAGCGUUCCGGUGACACAGCUUCCGUGAAUUGACACUUGUGCUGGGAUGGCGUUUUCAGUGAUACAAUUCUCUGAGAGUCAGCCAUGCAGGAUGCUGAAGAGUGCUCUGUGGUUGUAGGAAGAAACCAGGAAAACUGCAGACAGAAGAGCAGAGAGCUGUCAGUGGAGGACACCAGCGCCCUCACCAUGCCCUCUCUCUCGAGUCCCAACAUUCUGCACUAUCCUCACCAAGAGACAGGAUGUGUUCAGAAAUUCUCAGCCCAAAAAGAGAUGCUGUGCUUCCUUCCAGAGCUGAGGACUCCUGCUUGCAGAAGAGAAGUGAGAUGAGCCACCUACAAGCUGCUGGCCUCUGAAAUGUAAUAACUGUGUGACAAAGAGACAUCGAGGAACAGUGGUAAGUCAGGAACCACACCCUGAAGGCCUGGGAAGACUCCUUAAUCUAUUUGAACUGGAAACCAAGUCCCAGUGUAAGUAGCCACCAUGUUAAUAGACUCUAAACUUGGAUUCCUAGAAAGUCAGAUCCCCAAGGAAGAGCUGCGUGUAUAUUUUUCUCAGCCACCUCCACAGGGGUGACAUGGAAAUUCCACUGCCUCCUGGUAAACAGGCACAUGGCUCCUAUGUCCUGGGACUGUCAUGUGAAAAGCUUAUGGGGAAGAACUGAGCAUGUGUGGGUCACACAGCAUUCUAGGGCUGAAGCAUCACGGAUCUGUGAUGUAAUGGCAGGAAACAACCGCUAUGUAUCUCACGGUGACUCUGCUCCUCUUCCAGCCUCACGAGACAAAGAGCCUCUGAUAGCCACAUGUCCUGAGGCCACAGCUCUUCCUCACUGGGACAUCUUUCCUUUUCAUGGCUCUUUGGUUAACAACUUCAAGCUCAGCUCAGUUUAAAAAGCCCAGGAAAACUCUGACAUGUCUGACACACAGUGAACCCAGGCAGUCAGGACAGAGGACUUGGGAAUACAAGUUCUGGUCAUCUUCACAAGUCAGAACUGACAGAAGGGCUUUGAGAGUCACUUUAGUAGGGCAAAGAUGCCACCAACCACCCUUGAGAAUGAUCUCUAUGAGGUAAAGACACUGUCAGCCACCCCAGUGCUAGUGGAAGGACAAGAUGUCCCAGGAACGGAGGAAGGAGAAGCCAGCAUGACCUUGUAGCUGGGAAAACUUGUCCUAUGAGCAGUCCAGAUUCUAGCUGGUGGAAGACACUCUCCAGCCACCACUAAGCAUAGUCACCAUUGCCCUUCCUCCUGUAGCAAGAGAAUAUACCACUCACCAUUUUCAACACAUCUUAGUUUCUAGCAAACUUUAUCAAUUACCUUUAUCAAGGUUUCUGUUGUCUUAUUUCAUGACAUCCUGUUCAUCCUGAGGCCACAAAUGCCCACUGUCCUAGUUUGUUUCUAGUGCUGUGAUGAAUACCAUGACCAAAAGCAACUUGGGCGAGGGAAAGGUUUCUUGCAGCUUCCAGGCCAGGAACCUAAGGCAGGAACCUGGAGACAGAAACUGAAGCAGGAAUCAUGAAGGAACGAUGCUUAUUGGCUUGCUCUCCAGGGUUCACUUAGUUUGCCUUCUUAUACAGCUAGGACAACUUGCAGACAGGUGGUACCACUCAAGGGGGCACAGCCCUUCCACAUCUAUCAUCCAUCAAGAAAAUGCCCCACAGACUUGCCUACAGGGUCACUCUGGUGGAAGCACUUUGUCAGUUGUGUCAAGUUGACAAAAAACCUAACGAGCAUAUCCACACACCCACAGCCUGGCAGCCCUGGAGUAACUUCUGCCCAGUGGGGGCCAUGUAAAUCCCACCUCCUUGCCAUAGCAGCUUCUUACAGCAGUCUUCAGGAGGAAGAAAAUUUAAGGGAAACAAAGCCAAGCAAUUGCCAGCAAAACAGAGGAGGAACAUGCACUCCUGGCCUUUACCAUUUUUAAUGAUUUAAAUCUCAACAGUUUAUUUAAUGUAUUGUCUGGCAAGGGUUUUCAGUUUGCAAUGAACCUGUUCGGGACAAAAGCUUCCAGCUGAUGGAAAUUUCUACUAUGCUCCAUAACGCUGACAAUGAAUGGGAAGACUGUAGGAAUGAUCUGUGGAUCUGAACCGUUCACCAAGGGUCCAUCUGAAAUCCUGGAUUCAUGAAAACCAGGAGACACAAUCUUCCUCCAAUGCUCCAAUGUAUACUUAAAGGAAUUGGUGAUGGCUUGGGAAGGUGGCUUGGUCAGUAAAGUGUCUGCCUUGCAGGCACGAGGACCUGAGUUCAAUCCACUGCACUCAUGGCCACAGGGUCACUUUCCAAGGGAAUCCUACGAAGCAGGAGCAAGUCAGCUGUGUCUUCCUUCUGUGCUCUUCUUGGCUGGAAUAUCCUGUGGCAGAGGCUGUGGCCUGAGAAUGACACUUUAGUGGAUCUGGAAGUGCAGUGGCUGUGGCUGCCCCCUACCCCAACUCUCCUUGCAUCGUGUCCCCAUGGAUCUUCAGAGGACCUCAUGGCUAGCACUGCUGGGGUGUGAUACCACUGCUGUCAGAAAGUUGAUGCACGACAUCAAGUGGAUGCAUGGGACAAUCUCUAGACAGUCUCUAAAUGAAAAACAUGAAAUUUAUGCUUGGAAUAGCGCUGUAAAGUAUUUGAAGCUGGGUGUGGUGUUGUAAGUCUGUAAUCCUAGCACUGGAAAAGAGAACAAGUUCAAGAAAAUCCUGGGCUGUAUCCUCCCCACAACACACACACACACACACACACACACACACACACACACGAGAGAGAGAGAGAGAGAGAGAGAGAGAGCACUUGGCAAAUAAAAAGUGAGAGGAACAAAACAGAUAGGACAAACAUAAAACAAAUAGCAAGACUUUACAGUAAUUAUAUUAAAUGUAAAUGGCACAAAUUCAAAGGGAGAACAGAUCAUGUUACAGAGAUGAAACCUCUCUUGUGUAUAAGAUUUAAAUUUGAGAUUUCAUGGCUUUCCUUUGGUAUAUCUUAGUUUAUGGGGGAAAUCUCUCAAGCGAGCACCUAUUUUUAAUGGGAUAAAUUUAUACUCUGUACCAGAAAGGAAUUAAAUUGAGAAGUCUUACAAUUUUGCAGAAACUAAAUAUGGUAAAACAUUCAGAAGAACCAUAAAUAGAUAUGGUUCAUUUGACACAUUUUAUCUUAUGUUUGCAGAAGAAAUGUACUCUCAAUGAAGGCAUAAAGAUGGUUUCCAUGGAGACACUUGGUCUGAGAGGUUUACACAUUGAUACAUGAACAGCAGAGUAAAGAUUGUCUUCUACUUUGUAGACAUGAGGUUGAGAAACACCUCAACACAUACCAUGGCCAGCAGAAAAAAGCCAGUGGAAGGAAUGUGCACUUUAAAAUGUACUGAGUGCCAUUUUAGGAAGAGUUGAUAGUGGUAACUUUAAAAAUAUAAAUGUUGAGAUAUAUUGUGAAACUCUGUUUAAAAGCAAAUAAACAAAAAAAGUCAGGCAUGAUAGUGGUACAUGCUUUUUAUCCCAGGAGAUAAACGCAGGUAGAUCUCUGUGAGUUCAAGGCCAACCUGGUCUACAUAGUGAGUUCUAAGCUAUAUAGUGGGACCCUGUCUCAAACUUUAAUUAAUUAGUUAAUUUAAAAGAUAAAUUUCAUGGAAGAAGUUUAAGGUGGGACUAGAGAGAUGGCUUAGCAGUUCAGAGUGAUUUCUGUCACUCCCCGUUGCUUAAUUGUUGAAUAAUAUCCCUCUCUAAUGCAGGGAGCCCUUACUGAGAGCAGCCAUAUUGAUCAGCUUUGUAAGUCAAAGGAUUAGGGACACACUACUACUAAGCACAAUGAGUGAUCAGUCUCCCAUCAGAAGUUUCCAUAAAAUAUUACACUGAAGCCUCAAAUGGCCUGGUCUUAGAAGAACUUCCCCCACAACCUCCACUAUCAGCACCAGCUGGUCCAUAGACCAGUGAGGAUGCUCCUAAAACCCACCCAUUCAAAAGCUAUGAAAACCACAUUUGUGUAUGAGAUGCCUGGUUGUCCCAAAAAUGUUUGUCACUCUGCUGAUAGUGAUCAGAUACAGAUGCAGAGGAUCCCACUCACAGGAGGUGUGAAUGGGGGACCAGGAACUGGUGGCAUUACUAAGCUAUUGUAGCUACAGUAUUCAGAGCCCAGAGUCCCCAAGGAGCUCAGCACCCCAGGCCCCUCCCCCCCAAAAACAAUUCAGCUAUCAUGUGGAAGAGUCCCCCAUAGUCCCUAGGACAAGCUGUUGACUCAGGCCCAACAAUUCUCCAUGCCCAAGUGGCUCCUGGGGUCAGGGCUAGCUUCAACUUACUUUCCCACAAGAAUAGGAAUAGGCUCAGAGCUGCAGAACACCUGAGAUGAAGGUAAAGAACUGCUGUGUUUAGGGUUUCUGCAGCCAGGAAGGCCAAAUCCAGUCCCAGUAUGUUGGGGGCCCCCAAUUCCCUUCCUCGGGGAGCCUGAGAGCAUUUGGCUGCUCUAUUCCUCCUGAAGCUUUCCUAGAAGAUGUGGCUUGUUUUAGAAGGUGAGCUGGGGAGACACUGCUUAGCUUAGCCUGUGUCCCCUUGUUUCUGAAGGGGCCUAGGCAUUAGAUGUCUGUCCCUCAUCUUGUCCAAUGCCAAGUUGGACUGGCUUCCAGUUCAUCUGAACUGGUUUGGCAUCAUCUCCUCAGAUCAGCCUGGCUAGCAAGUCCAGACACACAAAUAAUGGAAUAAACCCACCCAUAUGUCCAGGGCCACUGAAAAUGCUGAGCUCCCACAGGACUGCUUAGAUGGGCCACUCCUCAGGACCAGGACGAGUCCUCCCUCCUGCCAUGGAGUUAUGCUCCUGGUCAGAGUUGUCCAGAGUAUGGUGGGCAGCCCCAACUCUGCAGCCUGUGAAGGGUCCUUGUGGCAGGCACACUCUGACCCUCAGUGGCCACCACUGGGCUAUCUGGAGCCAUGUCCUAAUGUGGAAGCCAUACCUUCCACCAGACCAUAUUUUUAAUGAGGAAUUAAAUGUAGCUGCAGUUAAACAGCCACAGCCUGAAAACGACUCUUGCCCUCUUUUAAUGCUUUUAAAUAAACUCAUUUGUUGAAAUUUAA